AUUGAACGCUGGCGGCAGGCCUAACACAUGCAAGUCGAGCGCGAAAGUUCUUCGGAAUGAGUAAAGCGGCGGACGGGCGAGUAAUGCAUGGGAAUCUGCCUGGUAGUGGGGGACAACGCUUCGAAAGGAACGCUAAUACCGCAUACGCCCUACGGGGGAAAGGGGGGGAUCUUCGGACCUCUCGCUAUCAGAUGAGCCCAUGUCAGAUUAGCUAGUUGGUGGGGUAAAGGCUCACCAAGGCGACGAUCCGUAACUGGUCUGAGAGGAUGAUCAGUCACACUGGAACUGAGACACGGUCCAGACUCCUACGGGAGGCAGCAGUGGGGAAUAUUGGACAAUGGGCGAAAGCCUGAUCCAGCCAUGCCGCGUGUGUGAAGAAGGCC
This 383-nucleotide ribosomal RNA is filed under the name uncultured bacterium. Its description in RNAcentral is "bacterial SSU rRNA". It matches the Rfam family "Bacterial small subunit ribosomal RNA", at positions 30 to 416 of the family's 1533-position model. The record is from RNAcentral.